This is a non-coding RNA of Gossypium hirsutum (cotton), 144 nucleotides long. The record is from Rfam. Lineage: Eukaryota; Viridiplantae; Streptophyta; Magnoliopsida; Malvales; Malvaceae.
UGUUCAAAUACCAUCUAUUUAUACUGUUAAAAAUUGAUGUAGCUAUUGAAAUAGCUAGAUAAUUAUAUGUGGUGUACCACGCGUACCUCAUGCUAAUGCAUAGGGACUAAUUUUUAAUAGUAAAAAUAGAUGACUUUUUUAAAA